Macrobrachium nipponense is the source of this 1455-nucleotide long non-coding RNA. RefSeq lists it as uncharacterized. The transcript is spliced from 4 exons. NCBI's taxonomy places the organism in Eukaryota, Metazoa, Arthropoda, Malacostraca, Decapoda, Palaemonidae. The record is from RefSeq and is a predicted model, not a curated record.
UAGUGUCUUAAGUCUUGUCGAAACUGUAAAUGGACGAACCUACUCUCAGAAUCGUCAUUCCAGUCUCAGCUUUCAGGCCUAACGCUUUGCUCUUUUCGUUCUUAAAGACUUGAGUAUUCGUCUGAGUGUUUUUCGACGGUGCUUGCAUAACUAAAAAGAAUGCAAAUCCCGUACUUCAACAUGUUCUGGUUUAACGUUGCACUCUGGACAAUCCUUCUCCUGUUUUAUAUAGCUUAUUCUACAGCUUGGGUCGUCGAUCAAUGCAUCAUCUGCUGUAGAAGGAAGAAAAAGCAUCAGAAGUGUUCCCAUUCUAUAGAAAUGACAAGUGUCCAGGAUACUCUCUCGGACGACCGUCCUCAGACCUAAGCAGAGGUUUGUCCACGCCACUCGACAGGCUGCUCUACCAUCGAUGCAGGAUGUCAAGGCCUUCCUCAAGACGGGCAGAUGCACUCGGCGUCUUCAACUUGCUGAAGACAUAACUGGCGCUGCUUCAGGUUCUAGAUGAUGAGACUGCAACUCUAGACUUCAGAGAAUGAGAAAAUGGGACUUCCGGCAGAAGAAUCGCCAACAGAUUUUAAACUGAGGAAGCAUUUGGAAAAGUAGACCAGGAACUUCAUGAUAUGAUGGUAAUUGAUGCGGCGGUAGUUUACUGUUGACUAGACGAAGAGUAAGACCAUUGCAAGAUUAUAGGUUCUUACAGUGGUUUGACUAGAUACGGUCAAUUGCUGAUGCUGUGAUUAUCCGAGAAAACUAAAGCCCAAGAAGGUAUCUAUCGAAAUUCUGUUAGCGUUUCCUUCCAGAAGUUCGUUUAUGGUCACUCAUUCAGAAUUAAGCAGAAAAUAUGAAUAGUGAGAAUGGUGGCUCCAUAAGUGAGCCAAAAUUAAAGUGAAAACUUCAAAAGUGAGUCCCCCUAAUUUAAAUGUAAAUUCAGGGACGGUAAGAGUUAUGCCAUAGUCAAUGGAAGUUGUAAGGUAGACGGCAGCAAAGUUAUAUUGGCUCGCAGUCACAGGUUACUCUGCUUCAGUUCAAGUCCAUUUGUCUACUUGUAUAUCCAUCAUUAAGGGCAAUACUGCUUAAGAGUAUACACGGGAGUGGGUGUUAAGCAGCAAAAUGAUUUUGACAACCUGGGCAUUUUUCUGACUGAACCUCAUCGGUAAAUUUACUUUUUUAUUUUUCUUGAGCAGACUUGGUUCCUAGCUGAACUGAAAUAUGCCUAGACAAGAAUUUAUUUAAUUGUAUGCUUUUAAAUUACUGGACUGGACUGCAAAUUGUAGGUGUUAGAUGACUAGACUUCGCCAAGUUUAAAAGUCAAUAUUUUUAGAUUGAGAUUAUUAGCAUUAUGCAUAUAUUACAGAAUCUGGAGUUUUGUAAUAUUAAUGUGAUUUCCAAAUCCUCGUGUAGGACAUAAUUUACUGUAACAGGUUUAUGACAUAAUAAUAAUAACACCAUAUUGGA